CGUGGUGCAAUGUCGGAGGUCAUGCUACCUCGACAAUGGAGUUGUAUUAAUUUCUCCUGAAAGUGUGACGGUUUUCUGUGGAUCGGCAACAUUUUGAUGUGGAAACCUUGGGUUUUUAUCUUGGUGGUGUUUGAUGUUUUAGGCUGCUCGUUGAGAUCCACCUAUUUGGUUUUGGGUAAGCGCCUAGCGAACGGAUGUUUUUGUACAUAUUCAGUCACCUCGUGCGAAGUCUGGUCAGCCUGUUCCCGGGUUGGGUGACGACGUCACAGUCCUGUCGACAACGUGAAAGCAACGCACAACUAAACUAUGCUUUCAUAUUAAUUAUUGAUCACACGUUGUGACCUAUGGCAUUGUAAUUGUGUUAGUUUUAUUGCUCUGUAGAUUUUUUAUUAAAGGAUUUUGAUUAUCGUGAAAUAAAAAACUGGGUAAUUUGGGGUUUGGGAUUCUCAUUUGUUCAAAAUGUAUUUGUUUUAUAAGAGCAACACACACCUACAAGCACACAUUAUGGUGAAAAUAUAAAUAAAGUUAUUUUUAAAAAGUAA
Paramormyrops kingsleyae is the source of this 542-nucleotide long non-coding RNA. RefSeq lists it as uncharacterized. The record is from RefSeq and is a predicted model, not a curated record. NCBI's taxonomy places the organism in Eukaryota, Metazoa, Chordata, Actinopteri, Osteoglossiformes, Mormyridae.